Long non-coding RNA from Pan troglodytes (chimpanzee), 788 nucleotides. RefSeq lists it as uncharacterized. Lineage: Eukaryota; Metazoa; Chordata; Mammalia; Primates; Hominidae. The record is from RefSeq and is a predicted model, not a curated record. The transcript is spliced from 3 exons.
CCAACCGGAGGCCCCGGUCGGGGAGCGCCCCGGGACAGGCCCCUGUGCCUCCAGCUUUGCGGAGUGACGCAGGCCCUGGGCUACAGCAACCUUACCAGCCCCUCCAGCUUAGAGGUGGCAGUGGCUCUCUGCGGCUGCGAUUUCUUUCUCGGAGCGUCCUCCCCAUCCCGUUCGGCCUCUGCCUCCACCGUCGUCUCUGUAACCCGUUCCCUGUGGGAGAGUCCCUGUUGCGGCGUUCAGGGGUUUCGGUUUUCUGGCCGAGCAGUGAUUAACGCGAGGGAAGGCGCUGACGGCAAGGUGGCAGGAAGAAAAUUCCAACACAGACCACAACACCUAUGGACCUGGAAAACAUUGUGCUCAGUGAAAGAAGCCAGACACAGAAGGACAAUGUUGUAUGAGGUCUUACUCUGUUGCCCAGGCUGGACUGCAGUGGUGCAAUCCUAGCUCACUGCAGCUUCGACUUCCCGUGCUCAAGUGAUUUUCCCACCUCAGCCUCCCGAGUAGCUGGGACUACAGGUGCGUGCCAUCACGCCUGGCUGAUUUUUCUUGUAUUUUUUUGUAGAGAUGGGGGUAUCGCUAUGUUGCCCAGGCUGGUCUUGAACACUUGGGCUCAAGUAAUUCUCCCGCCUUGGCCUCCCAAAGUGCUGGGAUUACAGGUGUGAGCCACUGUGCCUAGUGUGAAUGCAUUUAAUGCCACUGAAUUGUACACUUAAUAAUGGAGAAAAAUAUAAAUAUUCUGUUAAAUAUUUUACCACAAUAAAAAAAUGUGUGACAGUUGUCAGAAUCAA